UACAGAGGGUGCAAGCGUUGUUCGGAAUUAUUGGGCGUAAAGCGCGUGUAGGCGGCUUUGCAAGUCGGGUGUGAAAGCCCUCAGCUUAACUGAGGAAGUGCGCCCGAAACUGCUUGGCUUGAGUAUCGGAGAGGAUGGCGGAAUUCCCCAAGUAGAGGUGAAAUUCGUAGAUAUGGGGAGGAACACCGGUGGCGAAGGCGGCCAUCUGGACGGAUACUGACGCUGAGACGCGAAAGCGUGGGUAGCAAACAGG
This 253-nucleotide ribosomal RNA is filed under the name uncultured bacterium. RNAcentral describes it as "partial 16S ribosomal RNA". It matches the Rfam family "Bacterial small subunit ribosomal RNA", at positions 524 to 776 of the family's 1533-position model. The record is from RNAcentral.